This 433-nucleotide ribosomal RNA is filed under the name uncultured bacterium. Its description in RNAcentral is "partial 16S ribosomal RNA". It matches the Rfam family "Bacterial small subunit ribosomal RNA", at positions 29 to 507 of the family's 1533-position model. The record is from RNAcentral.
AACGAACGCUGGCGGCAUGCCUAACACAUGCAAGUCGAACGAGACCUUCGGGUCUAGUGGCGCACGGGUGCGUAACGCGUGGGAACCUGCCCUUAGGUUCGGAAUAACUCCCCGAAAGGGGUGCUAAUACCGGAUAAUGUCUUCGGACCAAAGAUUUAUCGCCUUUGGAUGGGCCCGCGUUGGAUUAGCUAGUUGGUAGGGUAAAAGCCUACCAAGGCGACGAUCCAUUGCUGGUCUGAGAGGAUGAUCAGCCACACUGGGACUGAGACACGGCCCAGACUCCUACGGGAGGCAGCAGUGGGGAAUAUUGGACAAUGGGCGAAAGCCUGAUCCAGCAAUGCCGCGUGAGUGAUGAAGGCCUUAGGGUUGUAAAGCUCUUUUACCCGGGAUGAUAAUGACAGUACCGGGAGAAUAAGCUCCGGCUAACUCCGUG